AUAGACAACAGCUUGAUUCUUGUAUAAUUAAAGAGCGGUUACUCACUGAAGCUAAGCAGGGCUGAGCCUGGUCUGUACCUGGAUGGGAGACCACAUGGGAAAACUAGGCUGCUGACUGUU
RNAcentral lists this ribosomal RNA (120 nucleotides) under Danio rerio (zebrafish). Lineage: Eukaryota; Metazoa; Chordata; Actinopteri; Cypriniformes; Danionidae. The record is from RNAcentral.